GCCAAGCUGCGCAAGGACAUCCGGCCCGAGUGCCGCGAGGACUUCGUGCUGAGCAUCACCGGCAAGAAGGCGCCGGGCUGCGUGCUCUCCAACCCCGACCAGAAGGGCAAGAUGCGGCGCAUCGACUGUCUCCGGCAGGCGGACAAGGUGUGGCGGCUGGACCUGGUCAUGGUCAUCCUGUUCAAGGGCAUCCCGCUGGAGAGCACCGACGGCGAGCGCCUGGUCAAGGCUGCGCAGUGCGGUCACCCGGUCCUGUGCGUGCAGCCGCACCACAUUGGCGUGGCCGUCAAGGAGCUGGACCUCUACCUGGCCUACUUCGUGCGUGAGCGAGGUGAGAUGCAGAGCAAAGCGGCAGUCCCCGGACAGGGAUGGGCUCUGACCAGGAGGACAGCAAGCCCAUCACGCUGGACACGACCGACUUCCAGGAGAGCUUUGUCACCUCCGGCGUGUUCAGCGUCACUGAGCUCAUCCAAGUGUCCCGGACACCCGUGGUGACUGGAACAGGACCCAACUUCUCCCUGGGGGAGCUGCAGGGGCACCUGGCAUACGACCUGAACCCAGCCAGCACUGGCCUCAGAAGAACGCUGCCCAGCACCUCCUCCAGUGGGAGCAAGCGGCACAAAUCGGGCUCGAUGGAGGAAGACGUGGACACGAGCCCUGGCGGCGAUUACUACACUUCGCCCAGCUCGCCCACGAGUAGCAGCCGCAACUGGACGGAGGACAUGGAAGGAGGCAUCUCGUCCCCGGUGAAGAAGACAGAGAUGGACAAGUCACCAUUCAACAGCCCGUCCCCCCAGGACUCUCCCCGCCUCUCCAGCUUCACCCAGCACCACCGGCCCGUCAUCGCCGUGCACAGCGGGAUCGCCCGGAGCCCACACCCGUCCUCCGCUCUGCAUUUCCCUACGACGUCCAUCCUACCCCAGACGGCCUCCACCUACUUCCCCCACACGGCCAUCCGCUACCCACCUCAUCUCAACCCCCAGGACCCGCUCAAAGAUCUUGUCUCGCUGGCCUGCGACCCAGCCAGCCAGCAACCUGGACCGCCUACUCUCCGCCCGACACGUCCCCUGCAAACCGUUCCUUUGUGGGAUUAGGACCAAGGGAUCCUGCGGGCAUUUAUCAGGCACAGUCCUGGUAUCUGGGAUAGCAAAGGUCUUCUUCCCUCGCCCCUUCUCCAUCGUCCCAGGAAUCCCAGGGGGCAGCACAGCCGGCCCCCGGCCCACGUUUUCGGUGGAAAAUUAGAGUGAACAAGAACACCCCUGCCGACUCCCAGCCCGGCCAAAAAGACAAAACACAUAGACGCACACACUCAGGAGGAAAAGAAAAAACAAAG
RNAcentral lists this long non-coding RNA (1333 nucleotides) under Homo sapiens (human). RNAcentral describes it as "long non-coding RNA NONHSAT179359.1". Lineage: Eukaryota; Metazoa; Chordata; Mammalia; Primates; Hominidae. The record is from RNAcentral.